AAAAACAUGGCUAUUAUGGGGUUAUUUAUAGUCUAGCCUGCUCACUGAUAGAAAUUAUUAAAUAGCCGCGGUAUCUUGACCGUGCAAAGGUAGCAUAAUCAUUAGUUUUUUAAUUGAAAACUUGUAUGAAUGGUUGGACAAAGAACAAACUGUCUCUUUUGUUUUUAUUGAAUUUAACUUUUAAGUGAAAAGGCUUAAAUAUUCUAGAGGGACGAUAAGACCCUAUAAAGCUUUAUAAAUUUAAAAAUCUUAUAUAUUUUUAUAUAAAAAUAAUUUUUGAGGAGUUUAUUUGGUUGGGGCGACAGUGGUAUAAGUAAUGUAAC
RNAcentral lists this ribosomal RNA (323 nucleotides) under Charybdis feriata. Its description in RNAcentral is "partial 16S ribosomal RNA". It matches the Rfam family "Archaeal large subunit ribosomal RNA", at positions 1901 to 2368 of the family's 2987-position model. The record is from RNAcentral. Lineage: Eukaryota; Metazoa; Arthropoda; Malacostraca; Decapoda; Portunidae.